Molecule: long non-coding RNA, 287 nt
Filed under: Vitis vinifera (wine grape)
Lineage: Eukaryota; Viridiplantae; Streptophyta; Magnoliopsida; Vitales; Vitaceae
Description: long non-coding RNA (VVIN_LNC008051)
Source: RNAcentral
UGUCUCUUGAAUAGAGUCAUGGUGACUGUAAGUCGAUCAACUGUAUCAUACUGAGGAUCUAUACCUGACUUCUUUGAAACCUUGACCAAUCUAUCUCCAACUCUGAUAUAAAAAGUCGAACCCAAACUGAAGCGAGUAACAUUCCUAUAAGGUACAAAGACGCGGAAAGAGAAAUGACAUGAAGGAAGCUCAGAAGAGGUGGAAACACACUAAUCACAAUGCAGAAAAGUGGCCCAACUGAGACUCAAACAUGUACCAAUCUCUGAGCACACCAAAAGGAGACCAUG